RNAcentral lists this ribosomal RNA (253 nucleotides) under uncultured bacterium. Its description in RNAcentral is "partial 16S ribosomal RNA". It matches the Rfam family "Bacterial small subunit ribosomal RNA", at positions 524 to 776 of the family's 1533-position model. The record is from RNAcentral.
GACGAGGGGUCCUAGCGUUGUUCGGAAUCACUGGGCGUAAAGCGUUUGUAGGCGGCUCUAUAAGUCGGGUGUGAAAUCCCAUGGCUCAACCAUGGAAGUGCAUUCGAAACUGCAGAGCUUGAAUAUGGAAGAGGAGAGUAGAAUACCUGGUGUAGUGGUGAAAUACGUAGAUAUCAGGUGGAAUACCGGUGGCGAAGGCGGCUCUCUGGUCCAAUAUUGACGCUGAGAAACGAAAGUGCGGGGAUCAAACAGG